RNAcentral lists this ribosomal RNA (120 nucleotides) under Deltaproteobacteria bacterium. RNAcentral's name for it is "partial 23S ribosomal RNA". It matches the Rfam family "Bacterial large subunit ribosomal RNA", at positions 2794 to 2925 of the family's 2925-position model. Lineage: Bacteria; Pseudomonadati; Myxococcota; Myxococcia. The record is from RNAcentral.
CCCCCUCGAGAUGAGCUCUCCCUGAAGGGCCCUCGAAGACUACGAGGUUGAUCGGCUGGAUGUGGAAGCGCGGCAACGCGUGGAGCAAACCAGUACGAAUUGCCCGAACGGCUUAUCCAC